This 106-nucleotide small nuclear RNA is filed under the name Salvator merianae (Argentine black and white tegu). Lineage: Eukaryota; Metazoa; Chordata; Lepidosauria; Squamata; Teiidae. The record is from RNAcentral.
GUGCUCAUUUCGGCAGCAAAUAUAUGAAAAUUGGAAUGAUGCAGAGAAGAUUAGCAUGGCUCCUGUGCAUGGAUGACACACAAUAUUUGAAGUGCUCCAUACUUUA